RNAcentral lists this transfer RNA (64 nucleotides) under Dipodomys ordii (Ord's kangaroo rat). It matches the Rfam family "tRNA". Rfam says of the family: Transfer RNA (tRNA) molecules are approximately 80 nucleotides in length. Lineage: Eukaryota; Metazoa; Chordata; Mammalia; Rodentia; Heteromyidae. The record is from Rfam by way of RNAcentral.
GAGAAGUUGGCUCAGUGGUAGAGCGCUUGCCUAGCAUGCAUGAGACCCUGGGUUCCAUUCCUCA